RNAcentral lists this ribosomal RNA (846 nucleotides) under uncultured planctomycete clone9. Its description in RNAcentral is "bacterial SSU rRNA". It matches the Rfam family "Bacterial small subunit ribosomal RNA", at positions 46 to 894 of the family's 1533-position model. The record is from RNAcentral. Lineage: Bacteria; Pseudomonadati; Planctomycetota; Planctomycetia; Planctomycetales.
GGAUUAGGCAUGCAAGUCGAACGAAGACGCUCUGUGUAGCAAUACUCGGAGCGGACUGAGUGGCGAAAGGGGCAGUAAUGUGUGGGUAACCUACCCUGGGGAUGGGCAUAGCCGGACUAACGUCCGGGUAAUUCCCAGCGAUGUUGCGGGGGGACAUCCUCUUGUGACCAAAUGGAUUCCGCCCUGGGAGGGGCUCACGUCGUAUUAGCUUGUUGGCGGGGUAACGGCCCACCAAGGCAUAGAUGCGUAGCGGGUGUGAGAGCACGACCCGCGCCACUGGCACUGAGACACUGGCCAGACACCUACGGGUGGCUGCAGUCGAGGAUCUUUGGCAAUGGGCGCAAGCCUGACCAAGCGACGCCGCGUGUGCGAUGAAGGCCUUCGGGUUGUAAAGCACUGUCGAGGGGGAUAAAGCCGCAAGGUUGAUAGAUCCCUGGAGGAAGCACGGGCUAAGUUCGUGCCAGCAGCCGCGGUAAGACGAACCGUGCGAACGUUGUUCGGAAUCACUGGGCUUAAAGGGCGCGUAGGCGGUUUGCCAAGUCAGGGGUGAAAUCCUGCAGCUUAACUGUAGAAGUGCCUUUGAUACUGGCGAACUCGAGGGAGGUAGGGGUGGGUGGAACUUCUGGUGGAGCGGUGAAAUGCGUUGAUAUCGGAAGGAACGCCGGUGGCGAAAGCGACCCACUGGAUCUCCACUGACGCUGAGGCGCGAAAGCCAGGGGAGCAAACGGGAUUAGAUACCCCGGUAGUCCUGGCCCUAAACGUUGGGUACUAGAUUGCAGACUAUCAUGGGUUUGCAGUCGAAGCAAAAGUGAUAAGUACCCCGCCUGGGGAGUAUGGUCGCAAGGC